This 575-nucleotide ribosomal RNA is filed under the name uncultured bacterium. Its description in RNAcentral is "partial 16S ribosomal RNA". It matches the Rfam family "Bacterial small subunit ribosomal RNA", at positions 355 to 914 of the family's 1533-position model. The record is from RNAcentral.
UGGGGAAUUUGAUCGAAUGGCGAAAGGCCUGAAUCCAGCCAAGCUCGCCGCGUGGUGAUGAAGCAAGCCUUCGGGUUGUAAGCCCUUUUGUUGGGAAAGAAAUCCAGCCGGCUAAUACCUGGUUGGGAUGACGGUACCCAAAGAAUAAGCACCGGCUAACUUCGUGCCAGCAGCCGCGGUAAUACGAAGGGUGCAAGCGUUACUCGGAAUUACUGGGCGUAAAGCGUGCGUAGGUGGUCGUUUAAGUCCGUUGUGAAAGCCCUGGGCUCAACCUGGGAACUGCAGUGGAUACUGGGCGACUAGAGUGUGGUAGAGGGUAGCGGAAUUCCUGGUGUAGCAGUGAAAUGCGUAGAGAUCAGGAGGAACAUCCAUGGCGAAGGCAGCUACCUGGACCAACACUGACACUGAGGCACGAAAGCGUGGGGAGCAAACAGGAUUAGAUACCCUGGUAGUCCACGCCCUAAACGAUGCGAACUGGAUGUUGGGUGCAAUUUUGGCACGCAGUAUCGAAGCUAACGCGUUAAGUUCGCCGCCUGGGGAGUACGGUCGCAAGACUGAAACUCAAAGGAAUUGAC